GUCGACAACAGAGUUUGAUCAUGGCUCAGAUUGAACGCUGGCGGCAGGCCUAACACAUGCAAGUCGAACGGUAACAGGAAGCAGCUUGCUGCUUCGCUGACGAGUGGCGGACGGGUGAGUAAUGUCUGGGAAACUGCCUGAUGGAGGGGGAUAACUACUGGAAACGGUAGCUAAUACCGCAUAACGUCGCAAGACCAAAGAGGGGGACCUUCGGGCCUCUUGCCAUCGGAUGUGCCCAGAUGGGAUUAGCUAGUAGGUGGGGUAACGGCUCACCUAGGCGACGAUCCCUAGCUGGUCUGAGAGGAUGACCAGCCACACUGGAACUGAGACACGGUCCAGACUCCUACGGGAGGCAGCAGUGGGGAAUAUUGCACAAUGGGCGCAAGCCUGAUGCAGCCAUGCCGCGUGUAUGAAGAAGGCCUUCGGGUUGUAAAGAACCGUCCUUAGCGAGGAAGGGAGUAAAGUUAAUAUCUUUGCUCAUUGACGUUACCCGCAGAAGAAGCACCGGCUAACUCCGUGCCAGCAGCCGCGGUAAUACGGAGGGUGCAAGCGUUAAUCGGAAUUACUGGGCGUAAAGCGCACGCAGGCGGUUUGUUAAGUCAGAUGUGAAAUCCCCGGGCUCAACCUGGGAACUGCAUCUGAUACUGGCAAGCUUGAGUCUCGUAGAGGGGGGUAGAAUUCCAGGUGUAUCGGUGAAAUGCGUAGAGAUCUGGAGGAAUACCGGUGGCGAAGGCGGCCCCCUGGACGAAGACUGACGCUCAGGUGCGAAAGCGUGGCGAGCAAACAGGAUUAGAUACCCUGAUAGUCCACGCCGUAAACGAUGUCGACUUGGAGGUUGUGCCCUUGAGGCAUGGCUUCCGGGAGCUAACGCGUUAAGUCGACCGCCUGGGKAGUACGGCCGCAAGGUUAAAACUCAAAUGAAUUGACGGGGGCCCGCACAAGCGGUGGAGCAUGUGGUUUAAUUCGAUGCAACGCGAAGAACCUUACCUGGUCUUGACAUCCACAGAACUUUCCAGAGAUGGAUUGGUGCCUUCGGGAACUGUGAGACAGGUGCUGCAUGGCUGUCGUCAGCUCGUGUUGUGAAAUGUUGGGUUAAGUCCCGCAACGAGCGCAACCCUUAUCCUUUGUUGCCAGCGGUCCGGCCGGGAACUCAAAGGAGACUGCCAGUGAUAAACUGGAGGAAGGUGGGGAUGACGUCAAGUCAUCAUGGCCCUUACGACCAGGGCUACACACGUGCUACAAUGGCGCAUACAAAGAGAAGCGACCUCGCGAGAGCAAGCGGACCUCAUAAAGCGCGUCGUAGUCCGGAUUGGAGUCUGCAACUCGACUCCAUGAAGUCGGAAUCGCUAGUAAUCGUGGAUCAGAAUGCCACGGUGAAUACGUUCCCGGGCCUUGUACACACCGCCCGUCACACCAUGGGAGUGGGUUGCAAAAGAAGUAGGUAGCUUAACCUUCGGGAGGGCGCUUACCACUUUGUGAUUCAUGACUGGGGUGAAGUCGUAACAAGGUAACCGUA
Molecule: ribosomal RNA, 1516 nt
Filed under: Escherichia coli
Lineage: Bacteria; Pseudomonadati; Pseudomonadota; Gammaproteobacteria; Enterobacterales; Enterobacteriaceae
Description: 16S ribosomal RNA
Rfam family: Bacterial small subunit ribosomal RNA
Source: RNAcentral